This 429-nucleotide ribosomal RNA is filed under the name Gemmatimonadota bacterium. Its description in RNAcentral is "Gemmatimonadetes bacterium partial 16S ribosomal RNA". It matches the Rfam family "Bacterial small subunit ribosomal RNA", at positions 355 to 776 of the family's 1533-position model. Lineage: Bacteria; Pseudomonadati; Gemmatimonadota. The record is from RNAcentral.
UAGGGAAUCUUCGGCAAUGGACGAAAGUCUGACCGAGCAACGCCGCGUGUGUGAAGAAGGUUUUCGGAUCGUAAAACUUUGUUGUUAGAGAAGAACAAGGACGUUUGUAACUUAACGUCCACUGACGGUAUCUAACCAGAAAGCCACGGCUAACUACGUGCCAGCAGCCGCGGUAAUACGUAGGUGGCAAGCGUUGUCCGGAUUUAUUGGGCGUAAAGCGAGCGCAGGCGGUUUCUGAAGUCUGAUGUGAAAGCCCCCGGCUCAACCGGGGAGGGUCAUUGGAAACUGGGAGGCUUGAGUGCAGAAGAGGGGAGUGGAAUUCCAUGUGUAGCGGUGAAAUGCGUAGAUAUAUGGAGGAACACCAGUGGCGAAGGCGGCUCUCUGGUCUAUAACUGACGCUGAGGCACGAAAGCGUGGGGAGCAAACAGG